UGCAAUUUUAGAUUAACAAUUAACAGAAUCAAAUACACGAAAUGAAGCAGGUGAUAACACUGGAAGGUGUAGCAUCGUUAAGAAGGAUGAAAUUGAGUGGGCUGUAGUAGAACCACUGCAUCUUAGUUGAGGAAGGUACACAGACAAUGGAAGAUAUAUUAGUCUCUUCUUUGGUACCAACCUAACUGAUGUAGUUAUUAAAGGGGAUAAUGACACCAAUAAUGGGCAGGGUGAAUCCUGGUGAAAGAAUUUCCACAAGGGAGAAUUACAGUAAACUAGAGUCUAGACCUUAUUCAAUUAUAACACUUGUUAACUAACCAUUAUGGAAUGUUCAUC
Molecule: non-coding RNA, 336 nt
Organism: Erythranthe guttata (spotted monkey flower)
Lineage: Eukaryota; Viridiplantae; Streptophyta; Magnoliopsida; Lamiales; Phrymaceae
Source: RefSeq, a predicted model, not a curated record